CGAGAAAGCCCGCAAGGGUGAGUACAGCGGCGCACGGGUGCGUAACACGUGGGUAAUCUGCCCUGGAGCCCGGAAUAACUCCCCGAAAGGGGUGCUAAUGCCGGAUGAGCCCACGGGGUCCUUGGACCCUGAGGGAAAAGGUGGCCUCUGUAUACAAGCUAUCACUUCAGGAUGAGCCCGCGGCCCAUCAGCUCGUUGGCGGGGUAAUGGCCCACCAAGGCUACGACGGGUAGCUGGUCUGAGAGGACGAUCAGCCACGCUGGAACUGAGACACGGUCCAGACUCCUACGGGAGGCAGCAGUGGGGAAUCUUGCGCAAUGGGCGAAAGCCUGACGCAGUAACGCCGCGUGUGUGAUGAAGGUCUUCGGAUCGUAAAGCACUGUCGCGAGGGACG
RNAcentral lists this ribosomal RNA (394 nucleotides) under uncultured Anaeromyxobacter sp. RNAcentral describes it as "bacterial SSU rRNA". It matches the Rfam family "Bacterial small subunit ribosomal RNA", at positions 67 to 447 of the family's 1533-position model. The record is from RNAcentral. Lineage: Bacteria; Pseudomonadati; Myxococcota; Myxococcia; Myxococcales; Anaeromyxobacteraceae.